RNAcentral lists this transfer RNA (64 nucleotides) under Lucanus kanoi kanoi. RNAcentral's name for it is "tRNA-Arg". The record is from RNAcentral. Lineage: Eukaryota; Metazoa; Arthropoda; Insecta; Coleoptera; Lucanidae. RNAcentral also lists the same sequence under 2 other names.
AAAUAAGAAACAAACUAUUGUAUUUAGUUUCGACCUAAAAUUUUGAUGAAACCAUCCUUAUUUU